CGCAAAUGAUGAUUUGCUUUGGUCCGUGUUUAUGAUUGAACAGUGAUUUUAAAACGAAGCUUUUUACUGAUGUA
Molecule: small nucleolar RNA, 74 nt
Organism: Trichomalopsis sarcophagae
Lineage: Eukaryota; Metazoa; Arthropoda; Insecta; Hymenoptera; Pteromalidae
Rfam family: Small nucleolar RNA SNORD18
About the family: U18 is a member of the C/D class of snoRNA which contain the C (UGAUGA) and D (CUGA) box motifs. It is encoded in introns of ribosomal protein L1 in Xenopus and human, and in introns of elongation factor 1 beta in yeast.
Source: Rfam